Molecule: long non-coding RNA, 2350 nt
Organism: Galleria mellonella (greater wax moth)
Lineage: Eukaryota; Metazoa; Arthropoda; Insecta; Lepidoptera; Pyralidae
Exons: 2
Source: RefSeq, a predicted model, not a curated record
AUGUGGCGAAUUCAGAAGGAUUUUUUUUUAUUGUUAGGGAGCUCUAACAGCAGACUGUCUACUUGAUGGGAUGCGGCGAUCGUCGUUCAUAUGUUACCACUCAUUUUUAUUCCAAGUAGUAGCGACCCGCCUCGGCUUUGCACGGGUGCAAUAUUUGUUUAUGUAACUUAUAAACUGUUCAACAUAUUUUAGUAAGGCUGGUAUUUUCGCGGUUGUGAAAGUUCUGCAUUAAUGGUCUCUAAAAUUUUAAAAUGAACGGCGUAUUUAGUAAUUUGACGUGCACACGUUUAUAUAUAUGUAAUAGUUUUUCCCUGCGCCCCUCACCUCCACGUCUCGUCUAUUGUUCUCGCAUGGCCAGCGGCAGCGAUAACGAAAUAAUUUUAUUUCGUAUUAUGUUCUGACCAAGUGCAUCAAUAAAUAAGCGAAUAAAUAAAAAGAAAACUUUAUCUCAAAGAAAUUUCCAAUUUAAUCAAAACUAAUAGCUAAAUCUAGCUAUUAGUUUUUAUAAGAAUUUAUAAAGUAUACAUGAAACCUGUAUCCAAACUUAAUCUUGUAAAAUUUAUUUUACUUUUAACAUAAAAUCCAUCUUUUUGGUUAAGAUGGAUGGUGUCGCGGACUAUUAAGCUAAAAGUAAUUCAUAUUUUUCUUUUAACUGUUCAGGCAGCUAACACCAUAUUAUAGAAUUUUUGCCGACUGCAAUUAUAUUUAUUGUGAUUAAUUAAUGAAAAUAUAUAUUUAUAAAAUAAAAAGUAAUCUACAGCACUGAGGGAUAAUAUACCUUUCUAUCAGUGAAAGAAUUGGAUCAGUAGUAUCGGAGAUUACUCCGAGCAUCUAAACUCACAAACUUUACCUUAUUAUAAUAUCUAUAUAAGAAAAUAUAGUUAAAUUUAAGCAAACUAUGUAUAUCAAACGUAUUUGUGACAUGGAAGAGUGCUUCAAGCACAUGGCCUGCUUGGCAACAGCAGGCCAAUACUUUUAUGGAAGAAAUCAAUCCUCAUAAGUAGGAUGUUAAUUAUUUUCUAUAUAGGUUAAGGUAGAUACUUGCCUGCCAAUAAAAUAUAUCAAAAAAUGCCGUUUUAAAUCUAUUAAUUUUUGUUUUUAUUGUUGUUUUAUUUACAUUUAUAUAUAUAAAAUAUAUAAAGUGUAUAAUUAAAUUGUUUGUAAAUUUUAGAUAAAAUUUUCAUGUGAACAAAAUGGAGGAACAUCAUUUUGAUAUAUGAGAAAAAAAAAUGUACUUAAAUUAGAAAUAAAAUAAGAUUUUGUUACACAAAAAACCAAGAUUAACCUCGAUAAAAUAAAUGUGAAAAACUGAUAUGGGAUAUUUUUUAUUUAAAAAUCAUUAAAUUUACUACAAAAUUAGAGAAGACAUCGCGUAAUAUAUACACAAACAUCUAUUUUUAGGUAGUUUAGUCAAAAUGAGAAUUCUGUUUUUGAAUUCGAUUUAAAAAUAACCUAUGAGCAAGAUAAUGAAUAUGAACUCGUAACAUUUUUAUUUAACUGACAUAUCUAUUCUUAAAAUCUAUAAAAACAGAAGCUAUAUCUUAGAUAUAAUUUUUCAUAGUCACAUUAAUUACUUAAAAUUUAACAAUGGCCGUUUGUAAUCGUCUCUUAUUUACAUAGACAUAAAGACUAUUCUGGGUUAAUUCGGGACGUAUAUGAGUUAAUAAUAAUUUUAGCUUAUCUGAUAAAAGAUAUUUGCCGAAUGCGGUAGCUUUUAUGUUUCAAUAAUACAUAUUAAUAAAUUGAUUAUUGUAACAUAUCGUUUUUAUUUCUUCUAGAUUAAUUUCGAAUUAUUAUAUACACAUAUCAUUCGGUAUCCUUAACGGAAAAUCUAAAAUAAUGUUGCAUAUUAUUAAGAUUUUAUCUUUUAUUUUAGGUUAGGGGUAGUCAACACCUGCGGCUUUGAUAACAUUUCUAUAAAAAAUAAAGAAUAAUUAUCAAAAUUGUUUGGAACUGGCGAAUAUAAAGCAUAACAAACAAUCGAGCUUACGACCCGCCUUAUGUUCAAGGCGACCUUAGGAUGGAGAGGAAUAAUUAAAAAUGUAUCUGGUCAAGUCAUAAUAGAUAAAUAAUAAAAUGAAAAACGAAAACAAUAUACUUAUUCUAAGAUAUUUAUGCCGAUUUUUAAGCUACGCUAGUACGGUGAGCAGAAACCAUCCUCUUAUAGAGAAACCCGUGUUUUCAAUGAACGUAACGAGGAAAUGAGUACUAACCGCUGAGACAGACGGAACACACGUAACCGAUGGUGAGCAGUUCGCGGUGACAGAAGCAGGCGGCGCGAUAGUCCACGCGGCCGCGCCCCGGCAGCACUAGUUGUCCGCGUUCUGAUGCGUCCGGGAGGAACACCCAC